RNAcentral lists this long non-coding RNA (482 nucleotides) under Olea europaea subsp. europaea. The record is from RNAcentral. Lineage: Eukaryota; Viridiplantae; Streptophyta; Magnoliopsida; Lamiales; Oleaceae.
NNCCUUCAUAUGCAAAAUUUUUAAAAGACUUGUGCACUGUCAAGAGGAAACUUAAUGUUCAACAGAAAGCAUUUUUGACAGAGAAUGUGAGCUCAAUCAUUCAACAAAACACUCCACCUAAAUUCAAAGAUCCUGGUUGUCCAACAAUUUCUUGUGUGAUUGGGAAUAACAGGAUAGAGCGUGCUUUGCUUGAUCUUGGUGCUAGUGUUAAUCUAUUACCUUUUUCUGUGUAUGAGCAACUUGGUUUGGGAGAGCUUAAACCAACAACAACAACACUUCAACUUGCUGAUCGUUCAGUAAAAGUUCCAAGAGGGGUUGUAGAGGAUGUUCUAGUUCAAAUUGAUAAAUUCUAUUUUCCUGUUGAUUUUAUAGUUUUGGACACACAUCCUGUUUUAAAUUCAAAUGCACAAAUACCCGUCAUUCUAGGACGUCCCUUUCUUGCUACUUCAAAUGCGUUGAUAAAUUGUAGCAUUGUUGUCUUA